Molecule: long non-coding RNA, 459 nt
Filed under: Pongo abelii (Sumatran orangutan)
Lineage: Eukaryota; Metazoa; Chordata; Mammalia; Primates; Hominidae
Description: lincRNA
Source: RNAcentral
CACACAGAUGCAAGGUCUCUUGAUGGCAGAAAACCUUAUAACCAGAGACGGGGUUUCUCCGUGUUAGCCAGGAUGGUCUUGAUCUCCUGACCUCGUGAUCCACCUGCCUCAGCCUCCCAAAGUGCUGGGAUUACAGGCGUGAGCCACCGCGCCUGGCCUAUAAUCAACCUCAGCUGCCAAAUGCUAGACUGAAAGAAGAAUGUAAACAGCUUGAUGGAGGGGAGGAUCCUGGUGCACCUGUGGUUUUGACAGCUUUUGCUGCUGCUUGAGGAGGAAACAGGUUGCCUGUUUGUUCUUCAAGAGCACUUCUGGCAUCCAGGUAUUAUGCAGGCAUGCACUGCCAGCUGUGAAAGAUGCCGCUUCCUUGUCACUUCAGAGAAUGAUGCUUCUACAGAAGAUCCCUCUUGCUAUUUCAUUCAGGGAGCUUGGGAGAGGAAGACAAAAAGAAUCAAAUGCAAA